RNA transcript from Ricinus communis (castor bean), 1041 nucleotides. It is a transcript of the gene named EKC/KEOPS complex subunit TP53RK, with no coding region annotated. The transcript is spliced from 7 exons. The record is from RefSeq and is a predicted model, not a curated record. NCBI's taxonomy places the organism in Eukaryota, Viridiplantae, Streptophyta, Magnoliopsida, Malpighiales, Euphorbiaceae.
CCCUCCCGACCAACGAGGUAAAAUAUAGGGGAAAAGAAGAAUAAAAGUAGACGCUUAAACGCCGUCGUUGUCGCCAACAAAAUUGGAAGAAGGAGGAAAAGGGUUUUUUAGCUUUCCGAGUUAUCUGAUAGAGCGGCCGAAUUGUGCAAAUAUGGAGAUUGAUUCAGAUGUCAAAGAUGGCUCUCUUAUUCUCAUAAAGCAAGGCGCUGAAGCUAGAGUGUUUGAGUCAAGUUUCGUUGGGAGGAAGUCAAUUGUAAAGGAACGCUUCUCAAAGAAGUAUAGGCACCCAUCUUUGGACUCUAAACUUACUCUCAAACGCUUAAAUGCUGAAGCAAGGUGCAUGACAAAGGCUAGACGACUUGGGGUAUCUACUCCUGUACUGUAUGCUGUUGAUCCUUUAUUGCAGACCCUCAAUUUUGAGUUUGUUGAGGGCCGUGCCGUCAAAGAUAUUCUUCUUGAAUUCGGGUUACUCGGUGUUGUCCAAGAAGAACGUUUGGAUGAUAUUGCAACUCAGAUUGGUGAUGCAGUUGCAAAACUACAUGAUGGGGGACUCAUUCAUGGUGAUUUAACCACUUCAAAUAUGCUCAUCCGCGAUGCUAGUAAUCAAUUGGUUCUUAUUGAUUUUGGUUUGAGCUUUACAUCGACCCUUCCUGAAGACAAGGCAGUCGAUUUGUAUGUACUUGAACGAGCCUUGCUUUCUAUGCACUCCUCAUGUGGGAAUGUAGAGGGGUGUUAUUUUUUGUUUUUUACUCGUCUGCGUCUGCCAAUUGAAACUGCAGCAGUGAUUUGAUAGCACUAUUCAGAUGGAUCGCAUACUUGCUGCAUAUAGGAAGUCCUCAAAGCAAUGGUCAUCCACAAUAAACAAGCUAGCCCAAGUUCGCCAAAGGGGUCGAAAGCGCACUAUGGUUGGAUAACAGGUUCUCCUGCACAACUGGGAAGAGGAAGAAACUUGUGCACUUGUGUUGAACUGUGUAACGUUCUCUGUUGAAUUGAUCAAUUUUAGAACGUGAUUUAUAGAUUUAUCUGCAUAUUGCAGCUGUA